Molecule: ribosomal RNA, 395 nt
Filed under: uncultured bacterium
Lineage: Bacteria
Description: partial 16S ribosomal RNA
Rfam family: Bacterial small subunit ribosomal RNA
Source: RNAcentral
AUACGUAGGGUGCAAGCGUUAAUCGGAAUUACUGGGCGUAAAGCGUGCGCAGGCGGUUUUGUAAGACAGAGGUGAAAUCCCCGGGGUCAACCUGGGAACUGCCUUUGUGAAUGCAAGGCUAGAGUACGGGAGCGGGGGAUGGAAAUCCGCGUGUAGCAGUGAAAUGCGUAGAUAUGCGGAGGAAAACCGAUGGUGAAGGCAAUCCCCUGGUCCUGCAGGGACGCUCAUGCACGAAAGCGUGGGGAGCAAACAGGAUUAGAUACCCUGGUAGGCCGCGCCCUAAACGAUGUUAACUGGUUGGUGGGAAUUUAGUUUCUCAGUGACUAAGCUAACACGUGUAGGUGUCCGCCUGGGGAGUACGGCCUCAAGGUUAAAGCUCAAAUUAAUUGACGGGG